Molecule: microRNA, 21 nt
Filed under: Panine betaherpesvirus 2 (Chimpanzee cytomegalovirus)
Lineage: Duplodnaviria; Heunggongvirae; Peploviricota; Herviviricetes; Herpesvirales; Orthoherpesviridae
Description: miR-US5-1-3p
Source: RNAcentral
UGAUAAGCCUGACGAGAAGGU